AGCACUUGGGGAUCUUGUUAAAAUGCAGAUUCUGAUUUUGCAGGUAUGGGGUGGCGCCUGAGAGUGUGCAUUUUUAACAAGCUCCCAGGGGAAGCUGA
Molecule: non-coding RNA, 98 nt
Organism: Papio anubis (olive baboon)
Lineage: Eukaryota; Metazoa; Chordata; Mammalia; Primates; Cercopithecidae
Source: Rfam